This 24737-nucleotide long non-coding RNA is filed under the name Equus caballus (horse). Its description in RNAcentral is "lncRNA (ENSECAG00000036269.2)". The stretch from base 19547 to 19632 matches the Rfam family "let-7 microRNA precursor family". Lineage: Eukaryota; Metazoa; Chordata; Mammalia; Perissodactyla; Equidae. The record is from RNAcentral.
GCGCCGCCCGUGGCGCUGGCCCUGGCUUCCGGAGCGGGACGGAAGGGCGGGCGGCUGGCGGUGCCGAGGCCGGAGCCGCGUGGGUCCCUUCGGGGAAGGGCGCGGCUCCCCGCCUUGGUCCCGCGUGCGUUUCCUUCUGUUCCCCUCGUUCAUGUCCCCACCCGCCCCCAGGUGCGCAGGACCUCACGCAGUGGCCGCAGUGGAGGCCGCACAGCCGGGGGACAGAGAUCAAAGCGGGGCGGGCCCGGCGCGCCACCGGGACGCGCGCUGCUGGCCCGCCCGGCCAGGAGGGAGAGCAGGCGGAUCAAAGCGCGCGGUGCCGGGGCCGGCCUUUCCGCGCGAGCGAGGCCGGGACGCAGCGCCCCUGGGCAGGACGCGAGGCUCCCUGUAAGCCAGGGCGUCGGCUCUCGCCCUCCACGGGGAGGAGGCCGGGCCCCGGCGAGGCGUCCCACUCCCGCCCUGGCCAGGCUCGGUCCCCGGUCAGGGAUUGCAGAGCCCCCCUUCUGUCGGCUGUGACUCGGGCCUGAGCUGUGUGACUGUGCCGCAUCAAAGUUUGAAGGCCCAGCGAUCAUAAUAGCAGCUGCCAGUUAUUGGGAACCACGUGCCAGGCAGGCCGGGGACCUAUGCCUUUGUGUCGUCGCAUUACUCCUCGUAGCAGCGCCAUUAAAUGCUGGUAUGGCCCACCACCCCCUUUCGCAGAUGGAGGGGCUGAGAUCAGAAGCAGUUUGCCCCAGGCCUCUCGGGAGAAGCGGCACAGCCUGCAUUUGGGCCGGAUCCCUGAUUCUGCAUCUGAGGCUUUUACACUCUGCUAAUCUGGCUCCUGUGACAAUAGAUUCAGGGGGCGCAGCUGGCUGCCAGCUCUGUUGCUUACCUUAGCUCACUGCUGCCUCAUCCCCAGUAGGAAGACCCUUCUACCCAGAGCUAAGCCCCACUUCCCAUUCUGACGAUGCCCAGGACCUGUGAGCUCUAUGCCAGGAGCCUGAAGAUUCCAUGCCAAGUUAGCACCCACCUGUCACACGGGGUCUCCUUGCUCAGGUGAUGGGAAAAGACACGGUCUGUCCAGCAUCUGAGGAGAGGCCGUGAGAAAGUGGGUGAUUUCAGAACGCCCAGUUUGUUGGACCAAGUCUGCCAUGCCGGUGUCAUGAGGCUGGGAAGUGUGGGUGAGCGCAUUUCCCGCGACGUUCACCAAACCCCAGCUACCCCAAGGCUGCCUGCCUCUCUCAUCUCCACCCUCUCUCCCUGGGAGACACGGAGACGGGCAUUUUGGCUAUCCACGUGGCUUUCCAGGUUGGUAUAAAAGGCCGAGUGAUGCUGGACAUUGGCGGCAGACCAGACACGAGGCCCAGCACAGGGUGCCCACAGCAAUCCAGAUUUUCCAGCCUCCAUAUGUAUGUACCUCGGGGAGGAAGCUGCAAAUUUGAAUUUUUUUGUUUUUGGCUCCAUAUUAAAGAACAAAGCAUGGGAACUGGACAGGCCCCUCUGUAAACAGAAAACACAUGUUUUCUGAGAGAAUGGGCUCUUCCUUUCCUGGUUUCUUCCCCCGUGGACAAGGCCUCCUUAGACCUGCUGGCUUCGAGAACAGGGAGGCCUUGGACCCCAGGCUGAGAGGAGGAAAGCAACACAGCCGUACGUAGAAGUGUCAGGAUAAAGCUGUUCCCAGCAGCAUGAUUUACAGUAGCAAACACUUCAACGGGACAACAUGUCUGACAACAGUGGCAAAAGUGAUAACCCACCCAGGAUGAACUCAGCGCGAUGCUCCAGGCAGGAAACACACGGACCACGCCCACACGGUGGGUCUACCUCAACCUGUGCCAGUGACACAGCUCGUUAAAAAUUUAAAGCAUUCACAAAGUUCUGUUCGCAAUAGCCAGAACAUCAGAAAUAACCCAACUGUCCACCCACAGAUGAGUGGGUAAACAGACUGUGGGCGCCAUACGAUGGGAUACCGUAAAACAAUAAGGCGUGGGCUGGUGAGAGACUCAGCGACGUCCAUGAGUGUCAGUUAUGCUGAGCAAGAGAUCCUACUCUCUGAUCCCGCUUAUGUUAAAUUAAAUAAAGCUGUGGCAGGUCAGGGACGCAGAGCUGGGUCCAGGACUGGGCUGCGAGGAUGCCCCGGUCCAGCGAAAGGGAACCGCCUGGAAGCUGGUAGCAGAGUGAGAGGCGGGGCCCCUUCCCUGGCUCUUUGGCCGUUUCUGGGCUGGGUUAUUCUCGAGGGCUGCCGUGCCCACUGGGCUCUGCCGAUGAAGGGAGGAGGCCUGUCCCUGAACCAGCUGGGGUAGCCGUGAAGCCAGACCCUCCCGUUUGGAGUGCCGCAACCCUGUAGCUCUGAGCACCUCUCCCAAAGGGAUCAGCUACAUAAUUUUCAGGGCCCAGGGCAAAAUGGAAAUGCAGGGCCGCUUGUUCAAAAGAUGAAGAAUUCUAAGAUGGGGACAGCAGAGCAGUGAGCACGGGGCUGCAGCACAGGUCACACGCCCAUGAAGCCUGCUGGGACAAGAUCUUGACGGUUUUUGAUGGAGCUAGGGUGAGCGACAUCCCCUUUUGGGACGAACAGCACCAGUGACCAGAUGUCAGAAAGCAAAUGGGUGCAAGCUCCAGGAAGACGUGAGGUUCUCAACGCGUUUUCCGGUCCUGAAAACACCAAGUGGCGGCAGCUGAGGAUGGGAGAGGGCGAGCCAGGCAGGCUUCCCUCCCCAGGAGAGGGCCAAGCCUCUGUGCUAGGAGCUUUCACUUCAGGUGAGGGGUAUCUACUGCAUAUUGUUGUGAAAUGUCACACCCUGGCACUGAGCCUCAAGACUCGAUGGAACUUCAACCGCUCUGCUGGAGUGUGCACAGCUGGCCUGCCUACAUCCUGGGGAGAAAUGAGAAGAGCCGACGCCCAUGCUUGCUCCUGUAAAAACACAAUAAGAAACCUCAUUCCACUCCCUCUGGGAAAGGAUCCUGGGGUUCACUGGUGGGUGGAUUUUACCCCCAAAUGAGGCCAAAUGCAGGCACUGGGGACAAACUGGCAGCCUGUGUAUGUAAGCUGAUGAGUAUUUGCGGCUCUGAAAACUGGCUCCAUGUCCCCCCCGCCCCAGCCAGCCCCAGGCACCACCUGUCCACCUCCACUACCUCCAUGUCCUCAGCCCCAUGAAAAGUUCCGGAAGUCUCCAGAUGGAUGGGCAGCACCAUCAAGUGCCCCCGUGGCUGCACCCUCUUCCGUGAACCACGUAUGGAGGUCCAGGACCGACUCCAGAAAGGAUCACAUUUGAGAAUCGCUAGUGCUCUCUGGAGCUCGGAACACCGCCCACUUUUGUGGAACAAGAGACAACAUGCUGCCCCCACCCCAACCCUCACCCUGGUGUCCACGGCCCCCUCACUCAAUUUUAAGAAACAAACAGAUAACCCCACGCUCCCCAGCCUGAAACAGUGCUCUGGGACAGCCGGCCUGUGAUCAAGCGUCUCCUCCGUAAGCAUGUCUGGCAGGGAAGGAUGGACAGAUGAAUAGACGAACAGAGCAGUGCAGGAGCAUCUCAAGGCCCAUCGGCAGCUCGACAUCUGUGCCCCUCAGCUCCUGUUCCAGUGCUCACAGGGCCCUCAAAGGGCCUGGGCUUGGCCACUGCACAGGUUCCCAGGCCUGGGGCCACUUGGUAGCCUCCCCCAGCUCAGACGUGUCCCCAAGGACCCUGCCAGGCAGAGCCGAGAAGGCAAAAAACAGCGCCAGCAGCCAAGGAGCUCCCAAGAAGAGGAGGCCCGAGCUUCCAGCUCAGGGUGCGAAAAGGAAGCAAGAGAAAGGGGUCUUGGAAGCCUUUGCCCUUGAAGACGGACUGAGUAGCUUCCAAUUCUUGGCCAAGCCAGGCAAGGCCCUCUGGCCCAGUCUUCAUUUACUUCAUUGUUUUGUUCACCUGGCUUUGCCAGGGAGACUUUUAAAAAUGUUGUUUGUUUCUGAGCUGGUCAUUUGUGGGGUGGAAUAUUCUAGUGCGGAAUUUGGCUCUGGGAAGACUCGGUGUUCUGGAGUCACCGGGCAGUGUCUUGCUCUCCUGAGGACGAGCCUGGGGUGGGGGUCCUGCGUGUGCCACGAGUUGGAAGGAGCAGGUGCAUCAGUAAAUGUUAGGGGUGGUGCUAAUCUGCCGGAACGGGAGCCCUCUGGAGACGUGCCCUGCUCUUGUGGCCUUCCAUAGACCUCUUCCCCAAACACCCCAAUUCCUCUUUCUUUAUCCCUUCCUCACUGUCCUUCCUCCCACUGUCACAGCGCCCACCUGUCCUUUCUCUUUUCUGAGGAACAAUAACUCCAUCUGGUCGGCAUAGAUGUGCCACUGCAGAAUGCUGAUGUCCGGGCCCGGGACCCUGGCCACGCUCCGGGAGAGAACCGCCACGAUCCAGGUGUGCGUUGAGAAGUUUUUUCCCAGCGCAAGAAGUUUCCCAGUGAGCCUUGGAGUCCUCCUAGAAAUUUCCGGCAUUCUACGUGUGAGAGACUGCCAGUUUCGGAGAAAUUGUGAGAGAGAGGGAAAGAGGCUUGGGUGCCUGCGUCCACUACCUCCGGCUGGACCAGGAGCCUGGGAAGGGCCCUCUUUGGGAGCAGGAUCUUGGAGCAUAUUUAGAAUUCAGAGUUGAAAACUGGUUAACGGAUAAGAUAUGAGCAAGGGCGUUAACUUUGAUGGUGGUUGACAAUCCCUGCCCGUGAUCAUCGUCAAAAACCGAGCACGGGAGUGAAAAUGCCUGUCCGCCUCUCCCAUUCUGUUGAAAUCCAUUUUAAAAAUAUAUGUUCAUCAUGGGGAAAUUAUAUAGACUCUUAUUUUCAAGGUUAAUGCCAUCCGUUGUCUGAUUGCUUACAUUACCACUUUCUUUUGGUUAAAAAAAAAACAAACUUCAUGUUCUUUUAAAAUUGGGAAUUACACCGAAAGUUGCUCUAUAAAUAGCAGGAAACAAAACAGGACAAAAGCAGUGGCUUUCUUUUUUAGUAUUUUUCUUUGCGGCUAUUAAAUAUUAUCCUGUUUUGCAGUGGUAGAUUUAGUUAAGCUAUUUCUUCACUUUUUGUAGAAAGGGCAUAUGUGAAAAAUCCCACCUUAACCUUGUCUUUCUGUUAACUGGAUCUAAAAUCUAUGAUAUUUAGACAUAGUCAGGAGAAUGAAACUAUUACAUAUUAAAGCAAAUUACUCACCUGUGUUGUAUGAAAUCAUAUUAGAUUUUGUAAAAAAUAAAAUGAGAAUAUUUCAAUAAAUAAGCCCGGCGUGGUCAAAUUUCAAACAACUUGUAAUUGACCCCCCCCAAAAAAAACCCUCAUUCUGCAUGUGAUUAUUUUGCAGGCAGUUUAGGUUUCGUUGCGACCAUUUUAAAGAAGUGAUCUGUGAAGUUUUGAUUUAAAAAAAGUUCUUGCUGUCCCUUGCAAUUUGACAAUGAACUGUUUGAGUUCUAAAUCAGGGUUUAUUUCCUUUCCUUUUUUUUCUUUAUUCUAGAGGGCUUAUAAUUUACUUAGCUCACUAAAUAACUGUAUGACUAAGAAAUGAUACUGAAGUUCUCAUUUCAUUUGUGGGGAAGAAAAAAAUUAAACUGACUUUCAUUAGUAUUUCAGCAUUAUUUAAAACAUUUUUAACUAAACAUUUGAUAGUUUUUAAAGUUUAAAAUUGCUUUAAAUUUUUCAUAUCUAAAUUCUGCUUAGAUGUAAUUCAAAAAGCAUAUGGGGUCAUUAAAAUAACGACUAUUUCAGGCCCCUUAAAGGACUGAUAUGAUGCAAAAAUACUUCAAAUAAAUCAGUGCUUUGCAACUGUGAAAGGAAGGCAUUCUUUGGACAUUUGAGGAAUGAAAUGCUUUUCAAAUUUUCUGAUGUCCUUUCAUUUUCGUGGAAAUCGGUACCUCCUUCUCCCAGAAACUGUUAAACUCCAAAUUCUAUAUAUCUUUAAUUGCUAAUAAACAUUUCCUAUAAGUGGCAUGAUAAAUUCUUUAGAAAAAUGUUAAUUUCUCUAAAUUUAUGAUGAUUCCAUUUUAGAAAUUGCAGGAUUGAGAGAUUAAAAUAAAUUCAGCACCCACUUCUCUUUGAAAGGUAAUUUUGAUUUUUUCAAAAUUUAGCUUGUAUUGUGCUUUUUCUCAUUCCUGAUAUGAAGCCAAGAAUCAAGUUUUGGCAUUUGAUGUACGCAUAUAGAACUGGAGAUCUUGGCCCGUCAGCCUCAAUUCACAUUUUCUGAUUUGUGUUGUUAGUACAUUGGAAUGGAAAAUAUUAAUCGUAAUUCCUCAUCCGUAAGGGGAAAAUUUUCAUGCCAGCAUGUAUGUAUUACAUACAGUAUAUUUCCAUAUUUAUAUAUAUAAUUGAACACAUGUUUAUCGUAGACGUCUAGUUGUUUUAUGUUCUCCUUUAUUUGAAAAAUAAUAACCCCUCAAGAAUGCUUUCCGGGUUGUUAGACUUUUUUUUAUAUAUACAUACACAGGUAACACAUGAUGAAAAGUGAAUGUGUGGACUUCCAAAUUGUGUAAAAUAUGGUGAAACAGCAGCUCACAGACCGUUUCUAAGCAGACGUGUGAUUGCCCAGUUGUGGGGUUACUGCCCAUCGGUCAGGAGGGAACAGAGGGCAUGCUGUUGAUCACUGCCGGCUGCAGGCACUCUAACUGUGUCCUUUCUAUUUUUCUAAAAAGGAAAGAAGGUAUAGAACUGGUAUGGCAGGUGCUGGUUUUUAGAGGGCGAGGGGUUGCUAAUGCCUCCUCCUGCCCGGUGCUUUGUUCCGCAAACACGCUUGUCCUGUGGCCAGAGUUUCAUUUCUGUUGUUAGUUAACUAAUGCCAAGUUUGACAUGAAACUGAGUGAACUGAAGCGAAAGAUUCGGAAAAACCCUUCAUUACGUUUGGAAGGAAGAACCCUUUCUGUGGAUGCUGCCUCACUUUUCCUUGCCCAGCCUGAGACCCUGUAAACUCUGUCUGACUUCUGUCUAAGCCAGUCGGCUUCUUUUCCCUCUCCUCUUCCUGAACUAUCUGCAUAAGAAAACAAAAAUGCUUACCCAAGGUGAACUGAUGAUGAUAGGUUUGUGCGUAAAUAAGUGAGAGCAAAACUGGACCCUUCGUAAAGUGGGAGUACAAGUGAUUACGACAUAGGCAUGUCAAAAUGGAAUCCCAAAGCUGCAGACUACUUUGAGACAAAGGCAAAAGAAAAAAAAAAUAUAGCUUCUUAGCGACUCCUCCAAAGGACGCCUUGGGAGGACUGAAGAAGUGGCAUCUUACUCAGGAGCUGCCACCAGCUCGCCAUCUCAAAUGUCUUGGGCCGGCUUUAAAAACAUCAUUGUUCUUGGGUGUGCAGGUUGGAUGUUCAAAAUCAAUGUGAAAAUGUAAGCUUUCAGUUACGCUCAUCCUACUUGCUUUAAUUAGACUAGAUGCAUCUGUUUACGAAGUCCUCGGAAUGCCUUGGAGACGAAAAAUUUUAAAUUAUUAAAUGUCACUACAUUGAGAUAAGAAAACCCCGAGUGCCCCCAGCCUUCUGAGGCUGAAGUGCGGCCGAAGCCUGAGCGGGGACGCAUGGGCUGGGGGGCAUAGCAGGAAGUUGCCGGUUGCAUUCCCAUUAGGCAGAUCUUGGGAGAAAUCAGGAAAAAAUAACCGUAUAAGGCUGAUACUAUAAACAUCCUGGGACAGCAAGAGCCUUCCUAUGACUUAUUUUUCUGGUGUGGCCCAGAGCUCAGACCAAGUUCUGCCUUCGGGAAACUUGUCCAUCAUAAGGCUCACCAACAAAGUAAAUUUUCCAGGUUUCCUUUUUGAUAAUUUGAGCACACUUUUUAAUAUUAUUUAUUUUGAAUAAUAUAAUAUGAUAGCGAGUUAGAAAAAGACUUUAAAAAACCAACCUGAAUGGAAUUCCUGAAUUCCAUUGGAAUUACCUGAAUCCUAUUAUUUUCCUUGACUCAAGCAGAAUUUGAUUUCUGAAUUUGCAACCAAAUUAUAUGUAAAUUCUUGCCGAGUAUAGAGGGGAUUAAAAAAAAAACAGUGUGUGUUCUUGAAUAUUGUUCUGACUCACCCAAUUUCUUGUUUUACCGAAUAAAAGUUGGGAGGAGGAAAAAGGCAUUAAAUUAACUUAUUACUGUGUGUGAGAGCAAGGAAAGAUAAAUCAGCUAAUAAAAAGGUUAGUAAGCCGGUAUGAUUAUACAAUGAUUUCAGGUGGAAAUUGCAAAGCUAAUAUCCUGGCAUUUAGUCAUUGUAAUGAUACAGUCGUCAAAUUUGUAUUUGUGCCAAUGGAACACAAGUUGUAAGUGGCAUAAUGGAAGAUAAUCUCUUUUUCUUUGUGGCUUUUUUAAUUCAAUGUUUUAAUCCACCCAUUUAAUCACAAAACAUAUAUCACAUUAGUUAUAAUAUUUAUAGUGUUUAGGAAAGUGAUUAUAAAUAGAUUAUAGUGUGGUUGGUGGAUGCAAUAUUUUUAUGUGUGUGUGAACAUAUCUCAAAGGUAUGCAGUGUUUCCAGAGUUUUGCACUUGGGAACGGUUUUACGUGAGAACAGUAACCAUAUAUUUAUUUUCAAAAUCCCCGUUCAGUUGUUACCGAGCUUGCUCAUUAUUUUGGAAAAACAAGAUUCGGUAUUAAAAGGGCCCGAUACUUCUGAUGUUUAGAUCUUUGCAUUCAGCCUAGUUUCAAAGCAGUUUUGUUGUUCUGGAGUCCUCAAGUUUGCUAAACCACAAAAUAUCUUUAAUAUGUUUUCUAAAGUAGUUGAGCCAUACCGUUAAGAUGAGGGACAGGCGGAAUUUAUAAUGGCCGUUAGUGGCUGGGUUCUUCCUUGGUGUGGCCGGAGCAGGAGGAGGGUGAUAGCGGGUUCUGUGUGGUUUUUGGGACUGCCCUGCACAUACUCAUCUCGUGGGGACGUGUUUGCUCACCCUGCACAUCCCAGUCGGGCUGGGAAUUAUAAUAGUGAAGAAAAUUACAAAGGACUAUGCUAGACGAGAGAUUGUUUUUCCCUGCGUGCGUAUUGCUAGAAUGUGGGUAUGGCAUUCCCGAGGCUCAGACUGCUGAGAGAACCAUCUUUUUCUGAGAAAGGAGGAACACAGAAUUCCUGGGCUUCCAGCUCUGGACCCCCCUAGCCCUCGAAACUGGGAGAGCCAGCCUGGACCUUCCUCAGGGAAAGAGUGAAACCCACCCCACUGUGAAAUCACCCCUGUUUGGGCUGUCUCUGCUCCUUGUCAGCAGCUAUGGAAAGUGAAAGUUGGUCAGGAUUUCAGUGAAAAGAUUAACCGGAAAGCAUGUCUACUACAUUUUCAAAAGCUGAAUUUUCUCAUAGGAAAAAAAGCUAUCCCUAGAAAGGAGAGGCCACAGUAAGAGUCUAACACCAAGGAAAGCAAUUUGGGGAGAUUUCUUAAUAUAUCCUGGGUUUUUUUCCCUCCCUCCCUUUCCCGCCUCAAAAUCAUGUAUGUCAUAGAGUAGUGGCAGUGGUGUGGGGGUGUCCAGCACAAUUCGAGGAUGAGGUCCAGGGUGUCUCGAAGGUGGGCCAGUGGGCAGCUGAGGCCCUGGGAGAGCUGCUCCAGCUGCCCCAGCCCAGCCUUGUCCAUGUGGCCAUUCUCUCUUCCUGAGCAGUGAAUCCAACGUGAAGUAGAGUUUCCUGGGAAGCAGGGCACACGAGGAACUUUUGAAUUUACCAAUGGCAUAAAAAGUAUAUAUAUUUUUAUGACAACGGGGAAGUUUCAAUUGGUUGACGGAAAUGGCGAGAUGUGACGUCAAGGGACAUUGGUUAGAAUGCCAAGGCCGGCUUGGGGGGUGGGGGGCUGGGGGGGAGACAGGCACAGAAACGUUGGGAUGGGGCCCAGGAGGCCUCGUUUCAAUUGGGCCCCCGUCGCAGGCGUCUGGGGACAGCCAGGUCCAUCUGACUCUGGGCGAGGGCAUGCCCAAGCUGGGGGAGGGGGUCCGAGCGCAGUGACCUCGUGUUGGCGUCCCCCAGCACCAGAGGCCCAGGCCGGCCCCUCUGCGGGGAAACCACUCAGGCGCCCCUGCGGAGGCUGCAGGAAAAGCUGCUUCAGCCUCCUUGGCAUUCUAACCAGUGUCGGGACCCUGGAGUCCAGCCGGUCGCGGCCCCGGGGAAGGGCGCGGGGAGGAACCGCGCUGCCAGGGGGCAACAGCGUAGUCGUCCGGCUCCGAAAGAGCAAAGCUGCGGCCUAGAACUUCUUCCCGCAGGUCUUGCGCCCUGGGCCAGGGGAGCAGGAAGUUGUCUCUGCGGGGAAGGAAGACAGCGAGCUCGGAGCUGGGCAGCAGCUCUGGGCACGGUGCCCCCGCCCAUCCCACGCCUCCCGGGCCACCGUGAGGGCACCCCCCCCAUUCGCCAGGCACCUUGCGCACCCCCUCCAUCUCUGGGCACUGUGCACUGCCCUCCUCCACUUCACCAGAUCCCGGGCACCGUGCCCCACCCUCCACAGGGCCGGCGGUGUCCGGGAAGCCGCCGGGAGGUCGCCCCUGGUGCGCGCCCUGCCCCGGGGAAGCCUGCUGCCACCGUCGACCCCGACCUCUGUCCUGGGACCUCGUCUGGAGAUCCAUGGCGCACAGCGGCCUCGCAGGGACGAGCCCGGCGACUGUGGCUGCUGUCCGCGGCGCGCACGGGGCUGCGGUCAGGCCAGGGACCGUCGGUCCGCCCGGGAUCCCCUAGCCGGGCCCGAGCGUGCGCGCGCGCGCCCUGCUGCCCGCAAUCAUGGCAGCCGGCGCCUCGGAGCGCAGCCGCCGAGCACGCUUCGGCAGCUGCCUCGGUGCCAGGGCGGCGAGGGCGGGCUAGGGCCGGGGCUUGCGCCUGUCCGCGCCCCUCGGGCGCGCAGGCCCCAGAGGGCGAAGCAGAAAGCUGAUGGGUCUCUGCGGAGCGGUGCCCCCUGCCCCGCACGGGCAGGCGGGAGGGGCCGCGGGCCGGGGGCGCGCGGACGGGGAGCGCCCGGGGCGGCAUGCCCGCGGGGGCGCGCACGCGGGGCUGCGGGACGAGGCGCGGGGCCCGGGCGGCGAAUCCGCUGCUCGCCCCGCCCGCCCCGCCCGCGCGCGCCGGCCCGAAGAGGAGGGUGCGCGGCGGAGGGGGGAAGCGGGAAGGGGCCGCGCCCCGUCCUCGCCCGUAGCGGGCAUGGCCGGGGGCCCCGGGAGGCCUCGUUGGUAUUCUGGGCACAGCCAAAGUGUUGACCUCCCCUCGGAACAGGGGCGCCAGGGUGCGCGGGCACGGCCACCACCCCCGGGCGGUCUCCCGGAGCUGCGGGGCCCAGAGGCGCCUUGCUCCCCCCACCGUCCCCUCCUCUCCGGGUCUCCCGUACCCCCUCCCCUGCCUCGAUCCGGCGGCGAAGGGGUGGGCAGGGAAACGCGCUCUCUGGGACAGGUGCCAACUCCGAGACAAAAGACAUAAAAUAGGCGGCAACGGGGGAAGCGCGGCCGGCGCGCUCGGGCGGGGACGGAGGCGCCGCGGGGGCCGCAUCCUCGGUGCCGACCGGGGAAAGUUUGGGAACUCGCCGCAGCGGCUUCGCAGCGGCGGGGGACGCUCGGGCCGGGCCGCCCUCCGCGCCGCGCUCACCCUCUCCGCGCCGCUGCUGAAUAAUUCAUGGCGCGGCCGCCGGCCAUUAGCAUGCACCGGGCGCGCGGCGCGUCUGUGCCAAGCCGCCGCCGCCGCAUUCGGCGCCCGGGCCGCGCCAGACGAGCGGCCGCGCGGAGGCCGGGCCCGCGCUGUCCCCGCGGUCGCCCGGCGGCGCCCAUUGUGCCCUCGGCCCGCGCCGCCCGGCCGCCCCGAGCCCGGCCGCAACCCGCAGCGCGCCCGACGGCCCGGCGCUGCAAGUUGGGGCCCGCGGCGCCGGCCCGCCCGCCCCGGGAUGCACGUGAACUUGGAGAAAGUCGCGGGGCGCGCCGGCCCGGACCUCCGCGGCAGGGCGUGGGCGUCCCCCGCCAGGCGCGCUUUCGUUUUCGUCCGGGACAAAGGUCCUCGCGGCGCUGGUCGCAGACACGGAGACCAGGUACUGCGGGCCACUCUUCGUUGAGGUCCGGUCGUUCAAUCCAGGAAAGCCGGAGCCGGGAGAAAGAGGAGCGGCGCGAUGCGGGACCGGGGAAGUGGGGCCUGGCCGUGCGCUUCGCCGGCGCUGCCCCGGAGCCGUCCCCGCUGCGGAGAGUUGCGGGAGAUGGCAUCGCUCUGCUCUCUGCCGUUUCGGCGCCUGAAGGAGGGAAGCAUUUGGAACCCAGGACUCAGACCGAUGACCCAGGGCCUUUGCAGCCGCGGGCACGGCAGCCUAGCGCCGGCUGCUUCCGAGCGCGUUCCUCCAGCAAGGGCACGGCUGUCGACCUGCGCGCCCCGGGUCGCGAUCGGGUUCAAGGCGACUCCUGAGAACGGGCAGGCCUUCCACCGACGAGGGGACACACGGACGAGGUCGCUCUGGAACCCGAAGCCGCACCAGCUUUCAAGAACUCCACGGCCGUCGUUAAGAUUCUGGAACUUGGAAUUUGUGAAAUACAGCCGCUCAUCUCAGGGCCAGCCCCAGGAUGGCCCCUCGCCUGCACUUCGCCAUGCCUGGCCUCUGGCCACUACGAGGCCCGAGAACUUCCUGAGUGACGGGGCUCCAGCUGCUGGCAGGGGCUGGCUGCUCAGCAUGGGCAGUGUGUGGUGAUGAGGCCUCCACUCUGGCGGGUCCCGGAGCAUGCUGCCUGAACUGGUGCGGACAGCACUCUGCUCAGUGGAAACAGCAGGAAGCUUUCCACUGGGGUGACUUUUGGUCCGUGUGCUUUGCACCUGACUGGGGCCAACUCUCUAUGAACCAGUCUCACUUGCUCCCAUCCUCAGCAGGGUGCUGGGGCCUGUCCUGCCCUGGCGUGGACUGGGCCUGACUGGAAGACAGCCCGUGGGGCCGAGGGAGGGACCAGGGACUUUGUCCGCCCUGAUGGGCACCUUGCCUGGAUGGGUGCUCUCUUGUACUCAGGGAAAUCCCUUGCGAGGCACCGAUGUGUGCUCCCACUGAGGCCCUUCCAUGCCAGGCAGGAAACCAUCUUAAAACCACCAGCCUUGGUGGUGGUUGUUGGGCUUGGAAGGGUGUAUUUGCAUAUUUGGGGAGAAGGGAGAAUACUCGUGCAGAAGUCCCAUUAAGCUGGAGUGUCCCAGCUCACAUCCGGGCAGCUGCGGUCCAGCCCCUGCCCCUGGCUCACCGUGUGACCCUGGACAAGUCACAUCACCUUCCUGGGCCUGUACCCUGAGCUCAGGAGCAGGAGGGUCGUUGGGAGGGUUCAGAUGACAUUAUUUCCACAAAGCACAGUUCCUGGCACGUGGCAGGGACGCGGUAAAUGGCUGCUGCUGCUUGUUAUCGUUGUAAAUGGUAAUCGCCAUUUUUAUUGCUAGUUACUAUAUUUUUGAGUUUCUAGGGAACAGAAAGCCCAGUUUUGGUUGCACCAGAAAAGACACCUGGAAGUUUCCUCCCCCUCCCCCCGCCAGGUGGUAGUGCAAGUGCACCUUGAGGAUAUUUUCUUCAAGGUAGACUGUCAGGAGCCUGCAGAGGGGGCUUUCCUUGUCAGGGGGACUUGGCCUGGAAGCACUGGGUACACUGGAUGGGACCAGGCCCCUGGAGUCCUCCCAAGAGGUCCCCUGAUGCCCCUCGCAAGAAUGGCACUUGAAGAGCUCACCUGGGUGCUGGCCCCGGGGCUCAGACCCCGAAAGAUGAGGGCAAGACAUCCUGACUGCGAGGUCCGGAGGGGCCAUGCCAGCCACCAGCAUCCUUGCUGGCAACAUGGGUGGCAGUUCCGUGGGAGGGUUUCACCAUUCUGAUGGGCUAAUUGUUCCUUAGCCUGAUACAAGCCUACGUUUACCAAAAUGCUGGCUUUGGGAGAAUUUUAUCUCUUAGCUGAUCGUUCAGGAAGACCCAGCAAGAUGGCCCUUUCUCAAAACAUCUUGUUGGAACAAGAAAGAACCAUAAAUGGCAUCAGCCAUGCUUUUCUGAUGUUAUGCGGCCGAGGAGGGAGAAAAAGUAACAAUUGUCUCCGAGUGAAGACAAUGGACCUUUUAUAUGAAAUAUUUAUUUUCAGGGCCAACCAGUGUCCCGUUGGCUGGGACAGUGGAGCUCGAGUGUCUGGGUGUUGCGGGCCCUGAGAACUCAGGGACGAGAUUUACAGAAAAGGAAGAAAGAAAGUCCCCACCCGUGGUUCUUGGGAAACUUCAGUGGGAACGGCUGGCUUUCUUUAUCAAGUGGAAUUUAAACUUCCACGAGUUUCUUUUUUCUUCUGUGAUUUCUUUUGAAAGACCCGCAGGGGCACAUUCGCAGCCCCGGAAAGAUAGCUGGGUUUUGGCUCUUGGGCUGGAUGGCUCCCUCGGGCCAGGCCCUGUUGGCCUUUGUCUGCUGGGGGGUGGCAGAGUGCAAGUGAGAAAAACAGGACUGGAAGAGGAAGGGUCUGUCCCUGAGGGUUGGGGGGAGCCCGCCGAGUGCGAUUUGGGACAGUAUUUGUGGUUCUCCGGUGUCCUUUACUCCUCCCCAAAUCCCGUUCUGUGAUGAACUCAGGAGCGGCCUGCAGGUUAUUGGAGUCUGGCCUGACUUGGCAGAGCCACACACAGACCCUCAAACACUGUCCCCAGCUGGAGAGGGUAUGUUUGUAACUCUUGGAUGGAUGUUUUCUGAAUUAAUAGAAUGAACAGAAUUUCACUGAGGCCUACCCAUGAGCCACCUCCCUCUUGCCUUCGCGGCUGCCGGGAUGGUGCUGGAGCAGCUGGACUCGGUUCCUGCUAAAUUCACAGUCUCAGUGUAGCCGGGAAGGCGCCCUGGGAAGCGAGGCUCAUGUUAGGGACCCGAGGAGGAAUUGAUGGGGCUGGGGCUUGUGAGGAGAGUGUCAGGGAGCGGGUCUUCCCAGCAUUUGGGGCACAAUGGGAAGGCCUGGGACAGUUGGCCCAGGACCCUGGCCAACUUAGGGGGUCCUCAGUCUGGAUGCCCCUACAAAGCGGAUGGAGGACAGAAGGAGUCGCCCGGAUCAGGGUGUGGGGGGCCCUCCCUUCCAUGCGUCCCCUAACCCAAAGACUUUGUUGGCAAAUAAUAUAUUUGGCUUCAAAAAGGAGGUUUUGUUUUUUAAAGCUGCUGUCACCUAUAUUUAUUUUUUAAUCCUGGAAGCUGUUGACUGUGAUCUCUUUCACCUUCUGCGUUAACCUGCCCCCAAAAAUGCUAUGACGAGAGCUCUCUCUCGGGGGUGACCACAACAGAGCCUCUGAGGCCAUGAGUAGAAUUGUAAAAAUGGGAGUGGAAAAGACUGAAAUUUCGUGACCUGGGUCAGAAAAACCCUAACACACAGGCUUUUAUUCACUUUUGGGGAGGAAGGGUUCAAAGUAAAAUGCUGCCCGGUCUUCUUGCGAAAUUUUGGGUGGGAAGCUUGUUUGAGUCGGGGUCCGGGAGCCCUGCCUUUCGGGAGGGCUCAGAAACCCGCGUGGAUGGAUGAACGGAGCGUCUCGACAGCCGGUGGGGGCCGCUGCUCAGUUAGUGGCUGAGGGAUUUUCGGAGUGGAGAUGUGACCAGCGGAGGCCACGCUGAUUGUCGUCAAAUGAGACUGGUGGUUGUGGUUAGGAAAAUGUGUGCUGUGCAUGGGAUGUCCAAAGUAAAAGGCCAAUUUUUUUUUUUUAAGGGAGUAAUAGAAUUUUCUCUCAAGAUUAAAACAAGAACGUCAUCCCUGAUGCCUUUGGUUUCCAGUGCCGGGGCUGGGUUUUUCUGUGAAAUGCCUUCCUUUACGUCUUGGCUUUCCGAUGGCAGAAAGAGCCUCUAGCUGAAAUAUUUACCUGCUGAUUUGGGGCUCUUAAAUCUAGAUUUGCCUUUCAUGUGUUGAAGAGCGAUAUUUACAUUCAAAUCAGCCUUUUAUAAUUACAUUUUAAAUUAUAAUAAAACGAUGGUGGGGGGGGCGGCUUCAGUCUUCCAUGUGUUUAACAGGGAAAGUCGCUGGGCGAAUGGCGUGUGGCUUGCACAUCCCAUCGCCAGACCUGCCCAGGCUCAGAGCAGGUGCCUGAAGUACAGAUUCUGGCCUGCAGGGUCACACGUGUGUCCUGAGCAUGUCAGGGUCCGUGGAUGUCGCCUGUGGAGCCCUCCCCGAUCUGCCUGGAGAAGAGUUUGUGGAUGGGGAUUCUGGCCCCAGCACAGUGGGGACGCUGCCAAACCUCAUGGCAUGCAGUUCCAGCCUGAUUCGGGCCUGGCUGCCCUGCCGCCCUGGCUGAUAUGUUGUGUCCUGAGCUUCACGCUGGCCCGCAGGCCUCGGGGUGGAGGCCAUUAUCUCCUAGGUGGCCAGCUGGGCACAGCAGCGGCCACUCCUGGUCGUGGCGAUACUGUGUGUGUGUUGGGGUGGGGAGUGCCCACCUCCUCCUGCAGCCGUAACCCAGGUUGUGCCUUCUCUCUCCUGUCAGGGCCGGCCCCAAAAUGGCCACCCAGUUUUCAGGGGCUUCCCUCGUGGAGUAUGGGGGGACCCUGUCCUCCCGGGGCCAGGCUGCUGGCAGCCGUGCCAAGCCCUUUCUGGAAUGGAAUUCCCAGCGUUCCUGGUCGGGCGCAUGGCAUCGGAAUCCUACCUGCUUUGUCUCUGGCAUCAGCUGGCGACUGGUCACGUGGCCUUGUGCAUAAGACCAGAGCCCGAGGACCAGAGGGCUCCUCCUGGCUGCUUCCUCCUCAUUCACUCGGUCCCCCCCUCCUUUCGCUUUGGGCAUGACAGUCUCUGAGCAGGCAUAAAGCAAUAUUAAAAUAAAAUGUACUCGAGGCCGCUGGGGAACUCCCAUCCCCAGAUGCCGAGGUGUCCAGGCCGCCGCUUACCUCCAGUCGUUACCAACAGAAAGGCCCGGAGCUGGGGUGUAAACUUACACAGCGGCCCAGCCACGGUCACUCGGUCACUCGUGCUGUCCCCUCCAGUUCAGCACGGAGCUGGCCCUGCCUGCCUGGGAGCCCCUUCCCACACUUGCAGCCUCGCGGCUCACCCUGCACAGGGAUAGCCUGGCGGUCGUUGCCUCAGCUCCUGGCCGCAUAAAAAGGCUGGAGGAGAGACUUGGGCAAACAGGUUGGCCACGCAGACCUGGCCUGCUGCCCGCAGGAGAGGGCAGCUGAGUCUGCCAAAUCUCCGAAUGAAAGUGCCCACAUUUAAACCAAGCCCACUGACCCGGGUCAGAGGGCCGAGCGUGGGCAUGGGUCACCUCUCCCCUUGGUGGUAAGGAUUGGCUUUGGUGAAACUGAAGGAUUUGUGGUGGUCUGAGAGGGAUAUGGUGACGUGCCUGGACUCUGGACCCCUCGUGACUGCUUGGCCACCUUUUGGCCCCUGUCUGCAUGGUGGCCGUGUCCUGAGUGCCGAUGACGUACCACGUGCCAUGCUCAGCACUCCGCUUGCAGUUUUGUCAUCAAAGCAGCCCUGAGUGGCAGGAGCCAUUAUCCCUAUUCUUUUUACAGAUGGGGAAACUGAGGCUGGGAGAGGCAGCGUGGCUUGCCCUGGGUUAGGUGGCCAGUUGGGCACAAGGCCAGAUUCAAACCUGUGACCACGGCCUCAGCUGCAACCGAACAGCCUCCCAGGGCCUUGGCUAGAAUGGGCUCCCUCCAAGGGCCGGCCAGGGAGCUGUUGGGGUGGGGGCUCUCGGCCUGGCCCGGGGAGCACAGCCGGGGUGCCGGCCGCCGCCUGCUCCUCUGCAGGGCCCGGCAUGGGAACAAUGCGGCCUCUAUCCCGGGAGUGAGCCCAGGCCGCCUGGACUCCCGGAGCAGCCGGCCAGGCCGCCUGCCCGCAACAUGGCGCCCGGGGCCGCGCCACCCGUCCACGGGGAGGGCUGGCGCCUGGGCCGGGCCUGGGCCAGCCGGCUCCCGGCGUCCCCCUCGGGCUGGCCGCUGAGUGGCCAGACGCUCCUGCUUCCUCCUCCCUCUCCCGCCUGGCCAGCCCCCCCUUCCUGCUGGUGGGUUUGGGGGUCCGGCCCACCCGCCUCUGCCACGUCUGCCAUCCUCCCGGCACCCAUGAGCAUCUUUCAAAAAUUCCCGGUGGGCGGGGCCGAGCCGCAGCGGCCGCCUCUGGCCCCCCCUCCCCGGGCAGCCAGUGCCAGAUGAGAGCAGGAGACAAAAGUAGCAUUUUCCUCGUCCUCCUGGGCUGGCAGCAGGGCCUCCCCCAGCGCCACUUGGCUCCUGGCAGCCCUGCCCCCGGGUGCCGUGGUGGCCGAGGCCCAGGCCGCACCGGCUAGGACCAAGGGACCGAUGGACGACGGUGGCCAGAGACCAGGAGGCCUGAGGGCCUGUCGGUCGGGGGCUGGCACCUGGAGACAGCCUGCUGGCCGGCAGGACCUGUCCUCCUCUGCCUGCCUCUGUGACCGGCAGGCAAGGGGACACCAUCUUCACCUCCUUGCUUUUGAGAACGCCCCUCGUCCUCCUGCGCCUUGGAACGUGGCUCCUCCCAGGGCACCCCCAAGAAAGUGGGCACCCAUCAUGGCCUUUGGAAGAUGCUCCGGGACUGCACCAGGUCUCACCCCUUCUUUCCAGCUGCUUCAUUCCCUGCGUGACACCGGAAGCUCGGACAACAGUGCCAGCUCAGGUCAAAAAGUGGUGGCGAGACAGGAGCUGCUGACCUCGGCCGAGCUUCCUCACCGUUCCCUCUGGCCUUCGCCGUCGACUGGGCAUGGCCUGAAGCAGCCACGGUCCACUGCCGGGUGUCUGCAUGGAAGAGGAGCGCUCAGCCUCAUCUCUCUGCAAUGGAGGUGCCUCUGGAAGCCGUGAAGUCCGUCCGGGAGCCAAGACUGACGGCCCUUUGGGGUGAGGUAGUAGGUUGUAUAGUUUGGGGCUCUGCCCUGCUAUGGGGUAACUAUACAAUCUACUGUCUUUCCUGAAGUGGCCGUAAUAUCAACGGUGGACAGCAUCCAGAACCCUGGCUGGGAGGGUCAUGGGUGGCAAGCUGGGGGUGGGGAGCAACCCUGCGGGGUGGGUGGCAGUGGCUGCCAUGCAGUAAGAAGACUGACAGGCCUAGGGUUCACUUGCUGUGUGAUCUUGGGCAGGUCCCUUAAUCUCUCUGGGCUUCAGUUUUCUCAUCUGUGAAAUGGGGGCAAGUGAGGAUUAAAGGAGAUAGUGUGUCAAGUGUCUAGGGUGGGGGGCUCGGAAUUGGCCCUUACUUCUCUACCCACUGUGCUGAGACCCAGUAGAUGCAUGGGACAGUUUGUGCAGCCUGCUCCCCUAUCCUGUGGGUGGCCCCAAGCACGUGUCUGGACUGUGCCCUCAGCUGUGUCCCUGUGGCCAGCGCUGGGCACCAGGAGGAAUUGCUGUGGGCUUGGCUGAGGUUGCAGGGCAGGGAGACCCACGGGUCUGCCUUCAUCAGUGCGUCCCCCAGACGAUGCUCCAGCCUGUCCAGCUCAGCGUCAGGCCUGGGGAGGGUGGGAGCCGGGGCCAUCCCUCCUUGUGGCUCAGCUCUCCCGAGCAGGAAGCGGGAGGGGCGUUGUCCCAGCCCAGCGAGCGCCCUCGGCCCCUCCGGCUCAGGCCCACCCUGCCCUCCAGCAGCCUGCAGGUGGACGGUAUGGGCUGCACUGCGUGGGGAAACCGAGGCACCAUCUGCAUUUUCGCUCCUGCCCUGCGCCUGCCCAGCCCUCCAGCUCAGCUCUGGUGGCUGCGGACCACCGGGCAGGGCUGGGCUGGGCGUGGGGCAGCGGCGGGCCACGGACCCUCCCGCCCCUGGGCGCCGGCGGGGUGAGGUAGUAGGUUGUGUGGUUUCAGGGCAGUGAUGUUGCCCCCUCGGAAGAUAACUAUACAACCUACUGCCUUCCCCGAGGAGCCCCGCGACACGUGCCCGCGGGAGGGCCCACCCCACGCGCCACGCUCCAGGGGGAUGCCGGGGCUCUGGCCGGGCAGUGGGAGGCCACAGUGUGCACACCUGACUGUAAUAAAAGCUGAUGUGAAACUGGAAUCUGGCCCCUUCUUCCUUCUGGAAGCCCAUGGGCUGGACGGCGGAGAGUGUGUGCGUGUUGGUGGUGCCAUGGGGGGCAUGUGUGUGGCCUGACUGAGGAGCUGCCACCUGGACCCUUGGGGUCACCAGGCCUCCCGUCUGCACCCCCGGCCCGCCCAUUCCAGCAGCCCUCAGACCCCUCCGAUGGGUUCAGUCCUAGACCCAGACCCAGCCCAUCCUCUACCCCACUCAUACCCCCUCCGAGGGCGGGGCUGUGGGACCCCGGCCCCAGAGGUGUUACUUGGCCCCCAGCCUGGUGGAGAAGCCCACCGGACAGCUGCCUUGUGGGUGGUACAGACCCCACAGGAGCUCCGAGCGCAGUCCGGGGCCUGGCCCCCUCGGCCCCCUCAGUACCUGGGGCUUGACUGGAGCCCGGAAGUUCCCGUCGUCCCAUACCCAGCUCCCCCAGGACAUUUCCAGGGUCGCCCUUGUUUCAGGUGUCCGUCCUUGGGCCGUGUGCCAUUGCAAGCAUUCAUUGUGUUUCUGCCUGAGGCCUUGGCUCUUGUGUUGGUGGCGGCCGCAGGCCUGUCCCUGUGAUCCCAGCCUGAGUGUUAGAAGGGGCCUGUCCGUGCCUGACCCAGUGCUGAGAGCACCCCUCCGGGGGCAACACCCUCCCCUGUACCCACGAUGCCCGGCACAGACCCCAGUAAGGCACCACCUUCCUAGCCAGAGCCAGCCCCUCAAGUCACCCCACAACCCCCUAGGAAAGACAGUUCCAGGCUGGCCCUUGCAACAGUGUGCACAGAACCGAACUCCACCGCACCCCCAAAUGCUGCUGCCUGACAACAGAGCUGACAGGACAGAAACAGUCCUCAGUUAGUGAUCUAGGACAGGGACCCUGUGACAGGGACCAGAAGAGGCUCUUGACCCAGCCAGGGGUCCGCAGAGGCCCCAUGUGGAGGGGCCAGCUGAGCUGAGCACCUCUUGGCCAUGCACACAGCAGCCUGGGGUCCUGGCGGGACCCAGUGCCCUCAGCCCUCCCACCUUGGUGAUUGUCUCCAAGCUGCAUCUUGGCCCCAAGCUCCAUCCUGAGUCUCCUGGUCUCCUACUUGGUCUUUGAAGGUCCCCCCAGACCCACAUGACCAUGCCUGGGCAGACCAGCAAGUGCCUGUCUUCACCCUGGGCCUAUUGCCCUCAAGGGGCUGCGGGAGCCCAGAUCAGGGACCCCAAGAGGCAGGGCUUCCUAAACAGGAGCUAUCUGAGCUGGGUCUUGAUGGUUGUGCAGGAGUUUGCAGCUGGAGACAGAGUGAGGAGCUCCUUUGCCCUCUGGGGCCGGGGCCAUGGCACACUCUGGCACCAUCCACCUCCCCGACUACCCCAUACCCAGUCAGUGGCAGAGUCCGGCCUCCUGUGUCUCCUGAGCAUCUUUUCCGUCCCUCUCUCCAUCCGCACUCUCACCACCAGGCCUCAGAGCCUCUCUGAGCAGCCCCUCUGCAUUCUUGCAGGCACUCGGUCUCCCUGUGCAUAGCCCCGACCUCGCACCUGUGCGCAGCCUCACCUAGACCCCUCCCUGUCCAUCAGGCUCUGAACACGCAGCCCCCUCCUCUGAACAUCCACAGCUCAGACACUGCCUUUGACCAUGGUAACUGUGUGUGAGCCAACCGUGACGGUGAACACCCGGAGAAGUCUGUGCAUCCUUUCCUUCCCGCACCUCUGCUGUGCCCAGCCCUGCGAUUGGAGCCGGGCUCUGCCUGCAGAGCUCACGGCCUGAUGGGAAGCAGCCAGGGACACACAGAAGCCACCCAUUGUGGUCAGCACCAUGAAAGGAAUGGCCCAGGAGCUGGGAGAGCCCUGAGGAGCCCUGGACCCAGCCCUGCAGUGAGGGGUGGCUUCCUGGAGGAGGUGACACCUGGCUCACUCUGUCCCUCCCUACCUUCCAGCCAACCAACUUCCAGCCUCUCCUCUGCCAGCUGGCAGUUUCUAAAGACACUGAGAUUGGAACCCACCCAAAUGUGGGCAGGGGGGCGGGGUGGGGGGGGCAGGUGCUACCUGUCAUCUGGUCAUCAGCGACAUGGAGAAGCACUUCAGUCCCAAAACAAACUGGGCGAAGUCAUCAGUGUGACCAAAGCAGCUGGUUUGUUUUCAUCCUGCCCGCCUAGCCCUGGGAGCCCCAACUUCAAGGACAAAGGCCUGGGGCGGUGGCUCUGCGCAGUGAGCCUCCACUCGCCGGUCCCACUUCACCGGGCGCACGGGAUGUGCGGAGGCAGCAGCCCGAAGACCUUUGCUCUGGCGGGGGCACAGGGUGGGAACAGCACAAGGGCUGGGGGGCAGGGGGAACGGACCUGAACCCUGGGCGCCUGGCGCCACCUGCCGCCUCAUCCAGGGAGUGGCUCCUGGUGGGGCUCGGGGCUGGUCAGCAGGUGAGCAGGCGGAGAGCAGGCUGGGGGCCCCAGGACUCGGCCCCACCAGACUAUGGGCUCCCCAGGCAGGUGGGGACCGUGGUCAGAGAUGUGGAUGAGUCAACUUGAGAACAGCCCAGCUCAAGUCCAUGGAGAAGAGUGAGGGACCCGGACCUUGAGGUGGCCCCUGCGUCCCCAGGCGUGUGGGAGCCAGGCCCACACGGACCCCUCCCAGCUGAGGCGGGUCACCGAAGCACGGCUGUAUUCCACAGAAAAGAGGUCUGUGUGUCCUUGCUUCUCCUGGGAGAGGACCGUUCAGACUCCAAGGGCUUCUGGGUGUCAAGCAUAGGUCGUUUGAGAGCCUGUGGGCCCUAGGGUCCACAAGGCCACCUCUGACCCUGGACCCCCAGGAGGGACAGAUGAGCCAGUCCAGCAUUUAGACCGUACAGCCUGGAGCCGAGCUAUGGCCUGCCUGGCCGCAGGGCAUCGAAGGACAGGGCGUCACCCAGGGCCAGGACUACGGUGAGUGGCAGAGGCCUGGCGUCUCAGGGGCCCUCACUCUCGGGUCGGUGGCAGGGCACAGAGCCGAGGCCCGCAUACUGUUAGGGGCCCAGAAGGCAGUUUCAUUUCAAUUCCUUUCCAAAUCUAAAGGAAAAUGAAUACCACGAUUUUCAAUGUAUCUAGUAGCGAAUAUGUAUUAUACAUAAUAUAUGAUUACAGAGUGAAUGUAUAUAAUAAUACGUGGUAUAUAAUUUAUGACAUCUAUAAUAAUGAAUCCAGCCUGGAUUAUGUUCGUCUUUAACCACCCAGUCAUAAAACCUGUUCUGUCAUCUGUUUUAUGGAGCAAGGACCCAGGAAGGCAGUGCCCCGGCUGUAAGCUGGCCUGGGCCCACCCGGGAGAGUGGCCGCUGCACGGCCUCCCCAGAACAUGACGCCUCCUCCAGCUCCGUGCCCUGGGCUCCUCACUUGCCGGGCUGUCAACCCCGCAGUCCCCCUCCUGGCCACCCUUGAGAGAGGCCUGGGCCACGGCCAGCCAGACAGCCCUUCCAUCAGACUGUGCGUCUCCCGACAGUGACACCGUGUGGUGGCAGGAGGUGGUGGCAGCCAUGAGCUGUGAGCUGCCAAGCCCUGGCCACACCCUCCGUGGCCUCAGCCCAAGGCUGUGGAAGUGGGUGACCCGUCCUGGGCCGGAAGCCUCAGGUUCAAGGUCAACUCGGGGAGGGGGGCCCGGGGGCACUUCCUGCUCCUCCGGUGGGUGGGGCCUGAGCGCAGACCGAGUAAUAACUGAGCAGCUUCUGCUCACACCCCCUGCCCUUCGCUCCGUGUUCUGCACGCCCUGCCAUGGUCCCCAGCACAGAGGAGGGCCCCGGUGACAGGGCUGGCAGCAUCCUGCUCGCCGUCAACGAGCCCUCAGUGUCACUGCCCCAUCUCGGCCCCCCUCCUCACAGCCACACCCAAAGCAAACCUGCCCCCUCUACUCACAGGGGACCAGAGGGAGCAGCCCGGGAUCCAGACCCACAUCUGUCCCCAGGUACCUCCCACUGGCCCGAGGUCAGGCUUCCUGCAGGAAGGGAGACCAUCCCCAACCUGGGAGGAUGGGAGACUGGGUUGUCAGGAGACCUGGAGAGGAGGGUGGCCCCAGCAGUGCCCCCGACCCCUCCCAGGGCUCCCACGGCCUCCUGGGCCCAGGGCCAGAGCCAGGCCUAGAACCCCCCGCUGCUGAGAGUCUACCUGGGGGCCAGAUCUCUCUGGAAGGAGUAACUUCCCCAGGAAUGGGGGUGGGGGGCUCAGGCCGUUGGUUUAAAUACUGGUGAGCCAGCCGCCACUGGUGACACCAUGUGCCAGCAUGGAGUCUCCGGUCCUCAGGACAAUCCUGGAGGGGCUGCCGUCCUGAGCCCAUGUCAUGGAAGCAGACACUGUGGCUCAGAGAGAUGUGGCCACACAGCAGCCCAGGGCAGAGCUGGAAUAGCAACCAGGUCUGUCCACCCCAGGGCCUGUAGCUGGGCGGGGAGGGACAGGUGCAGCUCUGGGGUCCCUUCCUUGUGACCAAGGGAACGGGCCAGGCCCAGGGCCCUCAGGUGCCUUAGCCACCCGCCUCGCACCUGAGGGUUCACUUUAACAAGAGAAUAGUGGCCGCCUGUGCACCACGCGUCUGGUCCCCCAGAGGGAAGUGACCUGUCUACCCUCAGACUUGACCUGGCCUCAAAGGUGGUGGGGCCUGUCCCUGGUGGACCUGGACCCCAGCCCUCCACCUUCUCCAAUCCUGGGUGUCCAGGCCCCUGGCCAAGCCCCAGGCAGGCAGUGCCGUCCAGAUGUGGUGAGCAUGUAGAGCUGACCUCCUGGGGUCUCGGGGGAUCCCACAGAAAAGGGCACCUGUCCUGCGGAAGGCCUUCCCCCACAUCAGGGGGCCCCACUGGGCCUCCCCUCAGCCUGCCCCUCUGCUGCCCAUUUCCUCGGUCAGCCCCGAGAAGCCCCGGGCACCUGGCACCCGUGGGAAGAUGUUCUAUCGCACCACAUCCGGCCAAGAGACUGGAGGGUCUGGGAGCGUCAGGGCCGGGGGGAACCGGUGGAGGAUGAUGUGAAGGCCUGGG